RNAcentral lists this ribosomal RNA (253 nucleotides) under Blautia obeum. RNAcentral's name for it is "partial 16S ribosomal RNA". It matches the Rfam family "Bacterial small subunit ribosomal RNA", at positions 524 to 776 of the family's 1533-position model. Lineage: Bacteria; Bacillati; Bacillota; Clostridia; Lachnospirales; Lachnospiraceae. The record is from RNAcentral.
UACGUAGGGGGCAAGCGUUAUCCGGAUUUACUGGGUGUAAAGGGAGCGUAGACGGACUGGCAAGUCUGAUGUGAAAGGCGGGGGCUCAACCCCUGGACUGCAUUGGAAACUGUUAGUCUUGAGUGCCGGAGAGGUAAGCGGAAUUCCUAGUGUAGCGGUGAAAUGCGUAGAUAUUAGGAGGAACACCAGUGGCGAAGGCGGCUUACUGGACGGUAACUGACGUUGAGGCUCGAAAGCGCGGGGAGCAAACAGG